AUGGGUUUCUAUAGUCUACAUGAAUCCCUACAUCAUGAGGUCACCAAACUUCUCUCCAGAUUCUUCUGGGCUAGAGAGAACAAUAAACAGAAGUAUCACAUGGUGAAGUGGUCUGAGAUAUGUAAGCCUAAAGACCAGGGAGGCCUUGGGGUCAUUUCGUCCAAGCGGAUGAAUAUUGCUCUUCUCUCUAAAUGGCUUUGGCGAAUUCAGGCCGAUGAGGACGGCCUCUGGCUUGAGAUUAUCUGGGCAAAGUACCUCCGCGGGCAACCGCUAGCCUUUGCCCCUAGAUCUGGAGGGUCCCAAUUCUCGCAAUCGGCCAUCCGUCUGAUGCAAACAUUGCGCAUUGGGACCUCCAUUAAGGUGGGUACUGGUUUCGGCACCCUCUUUUGGCUGGAUAGGUGGGCCAGGACCCGUCCCUUCGCUGAGCGCUUUUCUGCGAUAUUCUCGAUCUGUGUCCGUCCGCACCUAUUGGUAGCGGCGGCUUUAGCUGACCUGGGUGCUAUUGCCUUCCGCCGUACCUUCGGGGCGGUGGACCUCGAGCAAUGGGAUGAAUUGCUUGAGUGUAUUGCCCUUCACUCCCCUCCCUGGAGCCCGACUCGUUGUCUUGGCAUCUCGAGCCAAGUGGCCAAUUCUCGACUAGAUAUCUUUACCAGGCGAUUGUUCCUACCCCUGGCCCGGUGGAGCUAUCGGUUCUUUGGGAGAUCAAACUACCCUUAA
This 717-nucleotide ribosomal RNA is filed under the name Triticum aestivum (bread wheat). RNAcentral's name for it is "partial small subunit ribosomal RNA". The record is from RNAcentral. Lineage: Eukaryota; Viridiplantae; Streptophyta; Magnoliopsida; Poales; Poaceae.